UACGGGGGGGGCAAGCGUUGUUCGGAAUUACUGGGCGUAAAGGGCUCGUAGGCGGCCAACUAAGUCAGACGUGAAAUCCCUCGGCUUAACCGGGGAACUGCAUCCGAUACUGGUCGGCUUGAAUCCGGGAGAGGGAUGCAGAAUUCCAGGUGUAGCGGUGAAAUGCGUAGAUAUCUGGAGGAAUACCGGUGGCGAAGGCGGCAUCCUGGACCGGCAUUGACGCUGAACAGCGAAAGCUAGGGGAGCAAACGGG
RNAcentral lists this ribosomal RNA (253 nucleotides) under uncultured bacterium. RNAcentral's name for it is "partial 16S ribosomal RNA". It matches the Rfam family "Bacterial small subunit ribosomal RNA", at positions 524 to 776 of the family's 1533-position model. The record is from RNAcentral.